CAAUAGCGUAUAUUAAAGUUGUUGCAGUUAAAAAGCUCGUAGUUGGAUUUCUGGUGGGAGCGAUCGGUCUGGCGCUUAGCGCGAGUACUUGCAUCGUCUCCGGCCAUCCUUGGGGAGAGUCUGUCUGGCAUUAGGUUGUCGGGCAGAGGAUCCUCAUCGUUUACUGUGAAAAAAUUAGAGUGUUCAAAGCUGGCUUAUGCCGUUGAAUAUAUUAGCAUGGAAUAAUAAGAUAGGACUUUGGUACUAUUUUGUUGGUUUGCGCACCAAAGUAAUGAUUAAUAGGGACAGUUGGGGGUAUUCGUAUUCCGUUGUCAGAGGUGAAAUUCUUGGAUUUACGGAAGACGAACUACUGCGAAAGCAUUUACCAAGGAUGUUUUCAUUAA
RNAcentral lists this ribosomal RNA (383 nucleotides) under uncultured eukaryote. Its description in RNAcentral is "partial 18S ribosomal RNA". It matches the Rfam family "Eukaryotic small subunit ribosomal RNA", at positions 592 to 976 of the family's 1831-position model. The record is from RNAcentral.